RNAcentral lists this transfer RNA (54 nucleotides) under Zea diploperennis (diploperennial teosinte). Its description in RNAcentral is "tRNA-Met". Lineage: Eukaryota; Viridiplantae; Streptophyta; Magnoliopsida; Poales; Poaceae. RNAcentral also lists the same sequence under 3 other names. The record is from RNAcentral.
GUGGAGCAGUUUGGUAGCUCACAAAGCUCAUAGCCUUGGGGUUACGGGUUCGAU